UGGUUUUAGGAAAUAGUACUUAAACAUAAUAUUGUGCGGUGUGAUGAUGAAUUACGCAAGCCAUUGAGUAAAUAUAUUUUUUCUAUAGAUAACGUUGCAGUGAUAAAACUUCUUGAUCGAAAACAACUCCAUUAAAUAAGUGUCCAGGGAGUUGAUACUGUGAAGAGACAUUUUCACAGGAAACAUUAACCAAUAUCUAAAUUUUAGGUAAUGUAAAUGCACUACUCGAGACGCUCGGCCGCGUACCUCUGCGAGGUUAGUUAUAGAGGAGGAUAGUCGCUGCAGGGAACUCCUCCGCUGUGUGGUGACUAGCUUGCGAACUACAUUAAUCGGUCGCCUCAGCGCUAGCAUCGUCUGUGGUGCGAAGAAUGACUCAGAAGGUGUCACGUCCCCACUAUCCUCCUGAAUCGACGGAACCUUUAAACCAAAAUACUUUUCUAGGAACACAAUACGUAUAUAAGCUUUGUUAUUUUGAUGUGCUUGUUACAAGUGCUGCCUAAGAUACCGUAUUGUUUGUUGUUUGAUAACAGGUAUUUUGUACGCAAUAUUAAAUAAAAUAAUGAUUUACGAGUUGUA
Long non-coding RNA from Manduca sexta (tobacco hornworm), 576 nucleotides. RefSeq lists it as uncharacterized. The record is from RefSeq and is a predicted model, not a curated record. NCBI's taxonomy places the organism in Eukaryota, Metazoa, Arthropoda, Insecta, Lepidoptera, Sphingidae. The transcript is spliced from 2 exons.